This 277-nucleotide long non-coding RNA is filed under the name Ananas comosus (pineapple). RNAcentral describes it as "long non-coding RNA (ACOM_LNC032245)". Lineage: Eukaryota; Viridiplantae; Streptophyta; Magnoliopsida; Poales; Bromeliaceae. The record is from RNAcentral.
UAUAUACUCUAAAUUAUAUUUGACGGUGUGGAUAGUUAAUUUGAAUACCCUAAAAUAAAAAAAUAAGACUAUAGUACCGAAGUACCCUCAUUUAAGGUUUUUGCCGUUAGAUCUAUUUUUUUGAUUAUUUUCGUUCAUUAGAUUAUAUUAUUUAACCACCUGUUCACUUAACUCUAGAAAAUCACUAUUAUCCUAACAUCACAUUCAUUAAUUUAAGGACCAAAAACUAACAAGCCCCAAUGUCUUAAUACUUUUAAAAGUACAGAAGCACAAUUAU